Molecule: long non-coding RNA, 2878 nt
Filed under: Salvia miltiorrhiza (redroot sage)
Lineage: Eukaryota; Viridiplantae; Streptophyta; Magnoliopsida; Lamiales; Lamiaceae
Description: long non-coding RNA (SMIL_LNC005327)
Source: RNAcentral
GCUUUGGCGAGGUUUAAAGUGUCGUGAAGUUCUUUGAGGCGGCUGCUACGUUUGCCGAAGUCCAGAACGAAGCAGACGGAGGGGGCAUAUCCGCAGCUGCGGCGGCGGUGGCGGGCCCCACGGCGGUAGGGCCUGGUUAAAUGGAGGCAUCCCCAUUGGAUUCAUAGUGUUCAGUUCAAUUUUACCGCUAGUAAAACGAAAUCGCUCCAUUUUAUAUGAGCUCCGAUUUACAUUGAUUUUCGAGUCACACUCACAUUCCAGUCACCGAUCUAUAUUUGUCAGGAAUUGGGUUAGUUUCAUCUUCAUUAUUUGCUUGUUUUUAGCUAUCGUGUUAUUUAAAUUACUUAUUUUGGGAUAUAUUUAUAUUAAACUAAUUUCAAUGUAACUAUUUUGUGCAAUUUUAUUAUAAUUUCAUUUUGUGUUAAUUCGUGUGACUUCACAUGUGACUCUCUGCAUUAUUGUCACUAUAUUUUCAAAAGCAUUAAUUUUCGGUGACUUUAUCCAUGUGACUUCUGCAUUAUUGUCACUAUAUUUUCAAAAGCAUUAACUUUCGGUGGUCUUAUCCAUGUGACUUCUGCAUUAUUGUCACUAUAUUUUCAAAAGCAUUAAUUUUCGGUGGCCCUACUACAUUUAACUCUGUAUAAGAUUGCAUAUGACACUUAUCAUGCUUGUGUUUUUACCUUCUAUAUAUAUUUAUCCAUGUACUAUGUCAAAUGGCAAAACAAUUCUCUCUUACAUACUCUUGAUAUAACAACUUUUCAUCAAAAAAUGACCUCUAGUUCUAAAAUUGAUGCUUCAAAUUCUAGCAAUUAUGAAGUAUGAAAACAAAGUGUUGCCGAACAUAAUCGACAACUUGACCGCAUCAUUGAGGAUGUGGUCAUCCAUACCGCAAGUCUAUAUGUACAACCUAUCAAUCAUGCCAUUAGAGCUACGAGAUGGUAUAUUGAAAGAAAACAUGAGAAAUGUUAUAAAGGUGUGUUCGAACAAUACUUCUCAGAAGAUCCAAUCUAUCCCCCGCAAUAUUUUUUGAACAAGGUUUCGCAUGCGAAAGCCUUUGUUUGAACGUAUAAUGAACAAGCUCGUCGCACCCCCAAACUUAAAGUGUUGUUUGUCCCCAAACGACGAAGAGAAGAGAAAUAAAAGUAAACAAACAUGUGAGCAUGAAUUGGUGUCAUUUCAAGGGCUUCAAUUUUUUCAAAUGAGUAUCACAAGUAGAUGUGCAUUUCAAGAAAUCACAAGUGUCAAAGAGUUCAACAUUAGAGCCUCCAAGCUUGAAUCCUCACAAAGGUGGAUGUUUCAAUGAUGCACUCAACUCUCAAGUGUUUAGAUUGGGGCGUGUUUGCACUCAAAUUGAAACAAUGUAUGCAAUCUACCAUAAGCUUGCCAUUUAUCCUAACUCUCUAUACUUCAAUGUGUUAUAAAUAAUGAUCAACAAGGGCUUUUCUUUAGGUUGCAAUGAGGGCUCUUUGGUGAGGUGAGGUGUUUAUAGGCAAAGUGACUCAUAUAUAAUUCCCAAAUUGAAUAAGUCAUAUUCACCAUUGUUCUUUUCUAAUCAANCGUAACAGUUUGGACAUUAUGCAUCAUAUUUUAAAGUAUUUGACAUCAUUCUGUACACAAAACGUCAAGCUCAUCUCUCAUUUAUAACUCCACUAAACUAUAUAUCACGUCUGAUCUGAGUCAAAGAGUCUUCAAUUUCAAAAUCAGUCAUAGGGAUUUAGCAUGCCUUUUAGCCUACACAUUAUUAUACUUAAUAAGGUGGCAACAUCUUAAAACUGCAUCCUCGCAAUUUCUUGGAGGGAACAUAUAUUACAUAACAUAAAUACAUAGUGAAGACAUGAUGCCAAGUUUUCACAAAGUCUGCAGUCUAUACCUUCUGUUGAGCAAUGUCUUUGGCUAUCUCCCUUUUCCUCCAUUCAUCCGCUUCCUUAUCUAUUUUAUCAAAUUGCUCAUGCUCCUAAAACAACAAAGACAAACAGCCAAUUAAAAACCUAAACUCAUACAGGAUGACAGGAACUUCUUCUAGGUAAAGUCUGCUAUAUUUUGACACCUUAGCUAAGUUCUCCGCCACGCGCCUCCUUUUCCUUUUCCUUUUCCUCCAUAGUUUAUUUCUUUUAUACUUCUCCAUUUUAUCAGCCAACCUUUUCACAGCAGACUUCUCCUCCCAAGGACUGUUCUCAUCCGCAACAACCCUGAAUGGCUCCAGAAGAAAUCUGAGCUUCGACAUCACAGCAUUUGCAGUACUCAACGACAUAGUUUCUUGAAAUUCAACUCCAAUACCAUUGUCCUUCAUGAACCUAGAAAACCUACUAAUCGACAUGUUGCCACGCCCUAAAUCUUCACCUUCACUACUCCCAUCCCCUUCUUUCAUCCGAAUCAACAUCUCCAACUCUUUCUGCCUGAUCAAGCAAACUUCAAUCAAAAUUCAGUAACACAACAAAUUCAGAUUUCAGGAAACAAUUUCUUAACCAGCCAACAUAUAAUCAAAGCUUUGCCGUGCUCCUAUGAUAGUAAAACACUAAUUUCAGCGGCGAAAACGCAGAACAGUCAUUCAAUGCAAGAAUCAGCUAAAAUUCAAUAAACAAAAAUUCAGCUCAAAUAACACCAAUUGAAGCUUGAAGGGCAGAGAUGUCGUUACAUGGCUUUGGCGAGGUUUAAAGUGUCGUGAAGUUCUUUGAGGCGGCUGCUCACGUUUGCCGAAGUCCAGAACGAAGCAGACGGAGGGGGCAUAUCACAUAUGCGGCAGCUGCGGCGGCGGUGGCGGGCCCCACGGCGGUAGGGCCUGAUUAAAUGGAGGCAUCCCCAUCGGAUUCAUAGUGUUCGUUCAAUUUUACCGCUAGUAAAACGAAAUCGCUCCAUUUUAUAUGAGCUCCGAUUUACA